UACGAAGGGGGCUAGCGUUGCUCGGAAUCACUGGGCGUAAAGGGUGCGUAGGCGGGUCUUUAAGUCAGGGGUGAAAUCCUGGAGCUCAACCCCAGAACUGCCUUUGAUACUGAGGAUCUUGAGUUCGGGAGAGGUGAGUGGAACUGCGAGUGUAGAGGUGAAAUUCGUAGAUAUUCGCAAGAACACCAGUGGCGAAGGCGGCUCACUGGCCCGAUACUGACGCUGAGACGCGAAAGCGUGGGGAGCAAACAGG
This 253-nucleotide ribosomal RNA is filed under the name uncultured bacterium. RNAcentral describes it as "partial 16S ribosomal RNA". It matches the Rfam family "Bacterial small subunit ribosomal RNA", at positions 524 to 776 of the family's 1533-position model. The record is from RNAcentral.